UACGGAGGGUGCAAGCGUUAUCCGGAUUCACUGGGUUUAAAGGGUGUGUAGGCGGGUAUUUAAGUCAGUGGUGAAAUCUCCAGGCUCAACCUGGAAACUGCCAUUGAUACUAUUUAUCUUGAAUAUUGUUGAGGUAGGCGGAAUAUAUCAUGUAGCGGUGAAAUGCUUAGAUAUGAUAUAGAACACCGAUUGCGAAGGCAGCUUACUAAACAAUCAUUGACGCUGAGGCACGGAAGCGUGGGGAUCAAACAGG
This 253-nucleotide ribosomal RNA is filed under the name uncultured bacterium. RNAcentral's name for it is "partial 16S ribosomal RNA". It matches the Rfam family "Bacterial small subunit ribosomal RNA", at positions 524 to 776 of the family's 1533-position model. The record is from RNAcentral.